GCAGUAGGGAAUCUUCCGCAAUGGGCGAAAGCCUGACGGAGCAAUGCCGCGUGAGUGAUGAAGGUUUUCGGAUCGUAAAGCUCUGUUGCCAGGGAAGAACGCUUGGGAGAGUAACUGCUCUCAAGGUGACGGUACCUGAGAAGAAAGCCCCGGCUAACUACGUGCCAGCAGCCGCGGUAAUACGUAGGGGGCAAGCGUUGUCCGGAAUUAUUGGGCGUAAAGCGCGCGCAGGCGGUCAUUUAAGUCUGGUGUUUAAUCCCGGGGCUCAACCCCGGAUCGCACUGGAAACUGGGUGACUUGAGUGCAGAAGAGGAGAGUGGAAUUCCACGUGUAGCGGUGAAAUGCGUAGAUAUGUGGAGGAACACCAGUGGCGAAGGCGACUCUCUGGGCUGUAACUGACGCUGAGGCGCGAAAGCGUGGGGAGCAAACAGGAUUAGAUACCCYWGUAGUCAGU
RNAcentral lists this ribosomal RNA (454 nucleotides) under Paenibacillus mobilis. Its description in RNAcentral is "bacterial SSU rRNA". The record is from RNAcentral. Lineage: Bacteria; Bacillati; Bacillota; Bacilli; Caryophanales; Paenibacillaceae.